AGAAAAGGAAAGAGGUUUAGCUGCAAGGUCAAUUUUUAUUUAAUUAAUUUUUUAAUUGGAGGAGAAUUUUCAUUAAAAAGAAAUAAGUAGCCUUCUUGGUUUAUGUUUGACUAAAAGAUUAUGAAAGUAUAUUUGUAAAGGCAAUAAUGAAAGAUAAUUAAUUAAGCUUCUAACACACUGUGUGGAUUUUACUAAAUCCUUGCUAUAUGUAAUGCAUCAGCCAUCCCUGGGACUGUGUGUGGGCUGAGGGAGAGGUUUUGCACAGUAUCUCUUGACAGUACUGGGACAAAGAACUGGAACCCUUGAGCUGAGGAGACAUGCAGUAUUCUUGCUGUAGUCUUGCCCUGAUCUUGCCAUAAACCACAAACUGUACUAAGAUUUCUUGGCAGAGCCACUUUUUGAAAAAGGGAGAGUCUGCGGAGUUACUAUGUCACCAUGAAUGUCCUUCCUUCACGUCUGUUUCUGUGGAUAGUCUUGGCAGAAAAUUCACCAUAAGAGAAAGUAAUGAAGAGAAAGCAAUUCCUUAAGUCAUUCUUUUUGUUUCUCCCCUCCGCAGCUCUAGUUUUUUUCUUUCUUUUUUUUUCAAAGGGAGCUAUAAAACUUAAACUAUAUGCUUUCAGAAAUCUUUAAAGAAAUCAGACUUUAAAUUCUGGUGAGUAAAGAAAUCAGACUUUAAAUCCCUGGCUUAACAUGAAAUGCAGCUUUGUCUAUUUCACGCAUUACAGGUCUGUUUGCUUACCAGGAAAAAUGUCUCUACCUAAAAAAUCUCCCUGUCAUCUUCACAAAGAGAAGCAAUGACACAAUCUGUAAUUGCUAAGCUCACUGGGUGAGACCAGCGGGCCUGACCUUGGGAGCCAAAGGAGCUGAACUCCAGGUCUUUGACCCCUGACAGGCUGUUUUGCAGAAGUAUGUCUGUGCUGGACAUUCUCUCACACAGAAUGAACUUGCUUAGUGUUUACUUCAGCUUUUAAGCGGAAGUGGUGUGAAGCAGUUCUCUAAGCUCAUACAGUGCUACUCAGAGAUGCAGGAGAUGAUGCUUUGUUACAACGCAUGCUACUUGAACAUCCCCUCCCCACCUCUGAAGAAGUGCUGCCAGUUGGAUACAAACAAGUACAGGCAGAAGCUGGGUGGGGAAAUGCAUGACUCUGCAACAUUACUUGAAUCUUACCUUCUAAGAACAGUACUGCUGCAACAACAAGAAGUGUGAAAACUCAGCAACUACAAACCAGCAGCAAAGAUGGAGAGGAUGAAGACUGUUUUGAACACUUCAUCCCUGGCUUUCUUCUUUGUCAUCACCUAUGCUGAUGUUAAAUGAGAGCUUGAUGCCUAUGAGAAAUUAAAAAUAAAGUAAAUACUUUAAUCAUUUUAGUAAAAAUCCUUUUAAUACUAAGAACUUUUUGGUGUGGAAACUCUUUCUGAGGGCUGUCUGACUUGCAAUCCCAG
Non-coding RNA from Meleagris gallopavo (turkey), 1443 nucleotides. The record is from RefSeq and is a predicted model, not a curated record. Lineage: Eukaryota; Metazoa; Chordata; Aves; Galliformes; Phasianidae.